Molecule: ribosomal RNA, 660 nt
Filed under: Liolaemus poconchilensis
Lineage: Eukaryota; Metazoa; Chordata; Lepidosauria; Squamata
Description: partial 12S ribosomal RNA
Rfam family: Bacterial small subunit ribosomal RNA
Source: RNAcentral
CCUUAUUAAGCACCAAGGAGCAGGUAUCAGGCACAAUUAUUUAGCCCAAAACACCUUGCUACGCCACACCCACACGGGCACCCAGCAGUGAUAAAUAUUAAGCAAUGAGUGAAAGCCAGCCCAAGCUCGACUUAGUUAUGAUCAUCAGGGCCGGUAAACCUCGUGCCAGCCACCGCGGUUAUACGAGGGGUCCAAAACAACAGACACCGGCGUAAAUUGUGGCUAGAGUACCUCUUAUUACGCUGAAAAAUGAAGAAAAGCCUAAUCGUAAAACCUAGGCCAAAAGAAACACAUAUUUUCAGCUAUAAAGCAACUUGAAUCCACGAAAACUAAGAAACAAACUAGGAUUAGAUACCCUACUAUGCUUAGUUGUUAACAUGACACCAAAAAACACCACUGUCCGCCAGAGAAUUACACGCGAAAAGCUUAAAACUCAAAGGACUUGGCGGUGCUCCGUACUCGUCUUAGAGGAGCCUGUCCUAUAAUCGAUAACCCCCGCUUUACCUUACCAUCUUUUGUUAAACAGCCUAUAUACCGCCGUCGCAAACUUACCCCAUGAGGGCACAAUAGUAAGUAAAAUAGUAGUACGCUAGCACGUCAGGUCAAGGUGUAGCUAAUAAGAUGGAAGAGAUGGGCUACAUUUUCUAAAACAGAACACAC